UACGUAGGGCGCAAGCGUUGUCCGGAAUUAUUGGGCGUAAAGAGCUCGUAGGUGGCUGGUCGCGUCUGCCGUGAAAGCCCGCAGCUUAACUGCGGGUCUGCGGUGGAUGACGGGCCGGCUAGAGGUAGGUAGGGGCAAGGUGGAAUUCCUGGUUGUAGCGGUGAAAUGCGCAGAUAUCAGGAGGAACACCGAUGGCGAAGGCAGGUCUCUGGGCCACUACUGACGCUGAGGAGCGAAAGCGUGGGGAGCGAACAGG
Molecule: ribosomal RNA, 256 nt
Filed under: uncultured bacterium
Lineage: Bacteria
Description: partial 16S ribosomal RNA
Rfam family: Bacterial small subunit ribosomal RNA
Source: RNAcentral